GAUGAAGAACGUAGCGAAAUGCGAUACUUGGUGUGAAUUGCAGAAUCCCGUGAACCAUCGAGUCUUUGAACGCAAGUUGCGCCUCAAGCCAUUAGGUUGAGGGCACGUCUGCCUGGGCGUCACAUAUCGUUGCCUGAUGCCAGUUUCCUCGUGAUGGGUGACUGUGCAGGGCGAAUGAUGGCUUCCCGUGAGCAUUGUUGCCUCAUGGUUGUUUGAAAAUUGAGUCCUUGGUAGGGAGCGCCGUGAUAGAUGGUGGUUGAGUGACGAACGAGACCCAAUCAUGUGAGACCCCUACCGAAUUUGGCCUUCAUGACCCACAUGCGUCUUUGGAACGCUCAUGACGAGACCUCAGGUCAGGCGGGGCUACCCGCUGAGUUUAAGCAUAUCAAUAAGCGGAGGA
RNAcentral lists this unclassified non-coding RNA (400 nucleotides) under soil metagenome. RNAcentral's name for it is "partial contains 5.8S ribosomal RNA, internal transcribed spacer 2, and large subunit ribosomal RNA". The stretch from base 1 to 122 matches the Rfam family "5.8S ribosomal RNA", at positions 35 to 154 of the family's 154-position model. The record is from RNAcentral.